GAAUAUGAAGCGAUUUAUUGCAAUUAGUUUCGACCUAAUCUUAGGUACUAAAAGUACCCCUAUUCU
Molecule: transfer RNA, 66 nt
Filed under: Trichocera bimacula
Lineage: Eukaryota; Metazoa; Arthropoda; Insecta; Diptera; Trichoceridae
Description: tRNA-Arg
Source: RNAcentral